This 465-nucleotide ribosomal RNA is filed under the name Vreelandella stevensii. RNAcentral's name for it is "partial 16S ribosomal RNA". It matches the Rfam family "Bacterial small subunit ribosomal RNA", at positions 338 to 795 of the family's 1533-position model. Lineage: Bacteria; Pseudomonadati; Pseudomonadota; Gammaproteobacteria; Oceanospirillales; Halomonadaceae. The record is from RNAcentral.
CCUACGGGUGGCUGCAGUGGGGAAUAUUGGACAAUGGGGGGAACCCUGAUCCAGCCAUGCCGCGUGUGUGAAGAAGGCCCUCGGGUUGUAAAGCACUUUCAGUGGGGAAGAACGCCUGGUGGUUAAUACCCAUCAGGAAAGACAUCACUCACAGAAGAAGCACCGGCUAACUCCGUGCCAGCAGCCGAGGUAAUACGGAGGGUGCGAGCGUUAAUCGGAAUUACUGGGCGUAAAGCGCGCGUAGGUGGCUUGAUAAGCCGGUUGUGAAAGCCCCGGGCUCAACCUGGGAACGGCAUCCGGAACUGUCAAGCUAGAGUGCAGGAGAGGAAGGUAGAAUUCCCGGUGUAGCGGUGAAAUGCGUAGAGAUCGGGAGGAAUACCAGUGGCGAAGGCGGCCUUCUGGACUGACACUGACACUGAGGUGCGAAAGCGUGGGUAGCAAACAGGAUUAGAUACCCCGGGAGUC